Molecule: ribosomal RNA, 506 nt
Filed under: Staphylococcus epidermidis
Lineage: Bacteria; Bacillati; Bacillota; Bacilli; Caryophanales; Staphylococcaceae
Description: bacterial LSU rRNA
Rfam family: Bacterial large subunit ribosomal RNA
Source: RNAcentral
UGAAAAGUGAGCGGAUGAACUGAGGGUAGCGGAGAAAUUCCAAUCGAACUUGGAGAUAGCUGGUUCUCUCCGAAAUAGCUUUAGGGCUAGCCUCAAGUGAUGAUUAUUGGAGGUAGAGCACUGUUUGGACGAGGGGCCCCUCUCGGGUUACCGAAUUCAGACAAACUCCGAAUGCCAAUUAAUUUAACUUGGGAGUCAGAACAUGGGUGAUAAGGUCCGUGUUCGAAAGGGAAACAGCCCAGACCACCAGCUAAGGUCCCAAAAUAUAUGUUAAGUGGAAAAGGAUGUGGCGUUGCCCAGACAACUAGGAUGUUGGCUUAGAAGCAGCCAUCAUUUAAAGAGUGCGUAAUAGCUCACUAGUCGAGUGACACUGCGCCGAAAAUGUACCGGGGCUAAACAUAUUACCGAAGCUGUGGAUUGUCCUUUGGACAAUGGUAGGAGAGCGUUCUAAGGGCGUCGAAGCAUGAUCGCAAGGACAUGUGGAGCGCUUAGAAGUGAGAAUGCCG